This 1473-nucleotide ribosomal RNA is filed under the name Escherichia coli. RNAcentral's name for it is "bacterial LSU rRNA". It matches the Rfam family "Bacterial large subunit ribosomal RNA", at positions 795 to 2250 of the family's 2925-position model. Lineage: Bacteria; Pseudomonadati; Pseudomonadota; Gammaproteobacteria; Enterobacterales; Enterobacteriaceae. The record is from RNAcentral.
AAUUAGCGGAUGACUUGUGGCUGGGGGUGAAAGGCCAAUCAAACCGGGAGAUAGCUGGUUCUCCCCGAAAGCUAUUUAGGUAGCGCCUCGUGAAUUCAUCUCCGGGGGUAGAGCACUGUUUCGGCAAGGGGGUCAUCCCGACUUACCAACCCGAUGCAAACUGCGAAUACCGGAGAAUGUUAUCACGGGAGACACACGGCGGGUGCUAACGUCCGUCGUGAAGAGGGAAACAACCCAGACCGCCAGCUAAGGUCCCAAAGUCAUGGUUAAGUGGGAAACGAUGUGGGAAGGCCCAGACAGCCAGGAUGUUGGCUUAGAAGCAGCCAUCAUUUAAAGAAAGCGUAAUAGCUCACUGGUCGAGUCGGCCUGCGCGGAAGAUGUAACGGGGCUAAACCAUGCACCGAAGCUGCGGCAGCGACGCUGAUGCGUUGUUGGGUAGGGGAGCGUUCUGUAAGCCUGCGAAGGUGUGCUGUGAGGCAUGCUGGAGGUAUCAGAAGUGCGAAUGCUGACAUAAGUAACGAUAAAGCGGGUGAAAAGCCCGCUCGCCGGAAGACCAAGGGUUCCUGUCCAACGUUAAUCGGGGCAGGGUGAGUCGCCCCCUAAGGCGAGGCCGAAAGGCGUAGUCGAUGGGAAACAGGUUAAUAUUCCUGUACUUGGUGUUACUGCGAAGGGGGGACGGAGAAGGCUAUGUUGGCCGGGCGACGGUUGUCCCGGUUUAAGCGUGUAGGCUGGUUUUCCAGGCAAAUCCGGAAAAUCAAGGCUGAGGCGUGAUGACGAGGCACUACGGUGCUGAAGCAACAAAUGCCCUGCUUCCAGGAAAAGCCUCUAAGCAUCAGGUAACAUCAAAUCGUACCCCAAACCGACACAGGUGGUCAGGUAGAGAAUACCAAGGCGCUUGAGAGAACUCGGGUGAAGGAACUAGGCAAAAUGGUGCCGUAACUUCGGGAGAAGGCACGCUGAUAUGUAGGUGAAGCGACUUGCUCGUGGAGCUGAAAUCAGUCGAAGAUACCAGCUGGCUGCAACUGUUUAUUAAAAACACAGCACUGUGCAAACACGAAAGUGGACGUAUACGGUGUGACGCCUGCCCGGUGCCGGAAGGUUAAUUGAUGGGGUUAGCGCAAGCGAAGCUCUUGAUCGAAGCCCCGGUAAACGGCGGCCGUAACUAUAACGGUCCUAAGGUAGCGAAAUUCCUUGUCGGGUAAGUUCCGACCUGCACGAAUGGCGUAAUGAUGGCCAGGCUGUCUCCACCCGAGACUCAGUGAAAUUGAACUCGCUGUGAAGAUGCAGUGUACCCGCGGCAAGACGGAAAGACCCCGUGAACCUUUACUAUAGCUUGACACUGAACAUUGAGCCUUGAUGUGUAGGAUAGGUGGGAGGCUUUGAAGUGUGGACGCCAGUCUGCAUGGAGCCGACCUUGAAAUACCACCCUUUAAUGUUUGAUGUUCUAACGUUGACCCGUGAUCCGGGUUGCGG